This 171-nucleotide ribosomal RNA is filed under the name uncultured Sphingobacteriaceae bacterium. RNAcentral's name for it is "partial 16S ribosomal RNA". It matches the Rfam family "Bacterial small subunit ribosomal RNA", at positions 652 to 824 of the family's 1533-position model. Lineage: Bacteria; Pseudomonadati; Bacteroidota; Sphingobacteriia; Sphingobacteriales; Sphingobacteriaceae. The record is from RNAcentral.
UAGAGGUAGGCGGAAUGUGCAUGUAGCGGUGAAAUGCUUAGAUAUGUCAGAACACCAAUUGCGAAGGCAGCUUGNCUAUNNNNUGAUUGACGCUGAGGCACGAAAGCGUGGGGAUCAAACAGGAUUAGAUACCCUGGUAGUCCACGCCCUAAACGAUGAUUACUCGAUGUU